GGUGAGAUGGCUCAGUGGUUAAGAGCACUGGCUGAUUGCUCUUCCAGAGACCCUGAGUUCAAUUCCCAGCUACCA
RNAcentral lists this transfer RNA (75 nucleotides) under Mus musculus (house mouse). It matches the Rfam family "tRNA". Rfam says of the family: Transfer RNA (tRNA) molecules are approximately 80 nucleotides in length. Their secondary structure includes four short double-helical elements and three loops (D, anti-codon, and T loops). Further hydrogen bonds mediate the characteristic L-shaped molecular structure. tRNAs have two regions of fundamental functional importance: the anti-codon, which is responsible for specific mRNA codon recognition, and the 3' end, to which the tRNAs corresponding amino acid is attached (by aminoacyl-tRNA synthetases). tRNAs cope with the degeneracy of the genetic code in two manners: having more than one tRNA (with a specific anti-codon) for a particular amino acid; and 'wobble' base-pairing, i.e. permitting non-standard base-pairing at the 3rd anti-codon position. Lineage: Eukaryota; Metazoa; Chordata; Mammalia; Rodentia; Muridae. RNAcentral also lists the same sequence under 1 other name. The record is from Rfam by way of RNAcentral.